GCCGGAUCGUCCGGAUUAAUAUGAGGGCAUCAUCACUUUAUCGUGGUUAAUUUAGAGUUACCUAAAAUAAUUCCUUAAAUAACAAUCACAGGAACCGGAGGUUGCCCUCGGUUGCAAAGACAGUGAAAUCGCGCUUAUACUUAUCAGUGCCGGUAUAUCCAUGUUUUUCUUCGCACUAUCGAGAAAAAUCGAUAU
Molecule: non-coding RNA, 195 nt
Filed under: Mesorhizobium ciceri biovar biserrulae WSM1271
Lineage: Bacteria; Pseudomonadati; Pseudomonadota; Alphaproteobacteria; Hyphomicrobiales; Phyllobacteriaceae
Description: Mesorhizobail RNA 25
Rfam family: Mesorhizobail RNA 25
About the family: Existence predicted via genome wide comparisons with 4 related strains. Analysed further by deep sequencing and Northern blot under various stress conditions.
Source: Rfam by way of RNAcentral